ACGGAGAGUUUGAUCCUGGCUCAGGAUGAACGCUAGCGGCGUGCCUAAUGCAUGCAAGUCGAACGGGAUCCUUUGGAUUCUUCUGAAGGUGAGAGUGGCGAACGGGUGAGUAACACGUUGGUGACCUGCCCCAGAGAGGGGGAUAACUAUUGGAAACGAUAGCUAAUACCCCAGAUGUCAUUGUUGUUAGAGAGUAAUGACUAAAUGCUCCGGCGCUCUGGGAGGGGCCUGCGGCCCAUCAGCUAGUUGGUAGGGUAAUGGCCUACCAAGGCAAAGACGGGUAGGGGGCGUGAGAGCGUGACCCCCCACACUGGUACUGAUACACGGACCAGAUACCUACGGGUAGCAGCAGCAAGGAAUAUUGCCCAAUGGACGCAAGUCUGAGGCAGCAACGCCGCGUGGAGGAUGAAGGCCUUCGGGUUGUAAACUCCUUUUCUGGGGGAAGAGAAAGGACGGUACCCCAGGAAUAAGUCUCGGCUAACUACGUGCCAGCAGCCGCGGUAAAACGUAGGAGGCGAGCGUUAUCCGGAUUUACUGGGCGUAAAGCGCGUGCAGGCGGUUUUCUAAGUCGGACGUGAAAGCUCCCGGCUCAACUGGGAGAGGUCGUUCGAAACUAGGAAACUUGAGGAUGGUAGAGGAGAGUGGAAUUCCCGGUGUAGUGGUGAAAUGCGUAGAUAUCGGGAGGAACACCAGUGGCGAAGGCGGCUCUCUGGGCCAUUCCUGACGCUAAGACGCGAAAGCUAGGGGAGAGAACGGGAUUAGAAACCCCGGUAUUCCUAGCCGUAAACGAUGUCAACUAGGUGUAGGGGGUAUCCAACCCCUCUGUGCUGUAGCAAACGCGUUAAGUUGACCGCCUGGGGACUACGGCCGCAAGGCUAAAACUCAAAGGAAUUGACGGGGACCCGCACAAGCAGCGGAGCGUGUGGUUU
Molecule: ribosomal RNA, 929 nt
Filed under: Anaerolineae bacterium SG8_19
Lineage: Bacteria; Bacillati; Chloroflexota; Anaerolineae
Description: bacterial SSU rRNA
Rfam family: Bacterial small subunit ribosomal RNA
Source: RNAcentral